GUCGACCCCGGACCAAAAGUAGCGCUGCAGCCGACCGAACCGCGUCCUCCUGCCCCGCCCCGCCCCGCCCUCCCCUCCCCCACGCCGGGACGGCCUCCCGGGGGAGGCCCCGAGGAAAAAUCCAGGCUCGAACUCCGCCCCCUGCCGGCCGCCAGCGGGAGUGAAGCGCCACAAUCCAACAAUGAAAUGGAACCGGGGAGGGGCGGCGGGAAGGUUGUAGUGCCAUCAUGUGGAUACUUUGUUUUCUUCAAAUAAAAUGUAACCUUUUUAUAAUAGAAACUAGAAAACCCAGCCAUACCAACACCCAGGCUGUGCAAAGAAAUUGGGGCCAAAGGUUUUUUUGCCGUGUUCUGAAAAGGAUAGAGGCACUCUCCAUUCCCGAUUGUUCCAAGGCUCAAGUGGUCAUAAAUGAUUGGGAAGAAGGGAGAAAAACUCAGGUGGCAAAGGACAUGGACGAAAACCCAUGGCGACAUGGAAAGAAAACCCUGUGAUGUAUAGAGGAAGAGCACAGGAGAGCUUAUUGGGGAGA
RNAcentral lists this non-coding RNA (529 nucleotides) under Pongo abelii (Sumatran orangutan). Lineage: Eukaryota; Metazoa; Chordata; Mammalia; Primates; Hominidae. The record is from RNAcentral.